ACUGCUUGUAUUUUUAGUAUAAUAAAUAAUAUUAUGUUAGUACCUUUUGUAUCAGGGUUAAUUAAUUUUUUAAUUAAUUAUGCUCUCGAAAUUAACAGAUUUAAACAUAUAAUUUAGUGUUAAAUAACUUUGUGUAUUAGUUUAGUAAAGAAAUUUUUUCGUUGUUAAAGAUAUCUAGUUACUAUGAUAUUGGUUGUAUAAGGGUUAGCUUUUUAUUUUUUUAUAUUUUAUUUAUAUUUGUAUAUUAGGCUUAAGAUUAGCUAUAUUUUUAGUUUGUUUUAAAUAUUUUAUUAGUGAUAACAGGUUAUUAGGUAGAUCGGUGACCGUAUGAAAUUUUUUUUAUGAGGCGUAAUUAUUAAAUUAGUAUUUUUUUUUACUAAAGCGUAUAACUUGUUUUUUGUAGAAUAGUUUAACAAAAACAUUUCUUUUUCUUUAAAAAGUAUGACCUGCCCAGUGAUUUAAACGGCCGCGGUAUUUUGACUGUGCUAAGGUAGCAUAAUAAUUUGUUUUUUGAUUGGGGACUGGCAUGAAAGGUUUAAUUUACAAAAAUUUUUAUUUUUAGUAUAGAUAAGUUAUGUUUGUAGUAAGAAAACUAUAAUUAAGUAAAGUGACGAUAAGACCCUAUAAGCUUUUAUUUUUUUAUGAGGCAGAAAAUAUUUAUUUAGCGUAUUUUUAUAAAAUUAAUUUUACUGGGGCAGUAGCAUUAUAUUAAUUAAUAUAAGUGAGAACACUUAUUAGUGGUAUUAUGGGCUUUUAUAUAGUAGCGGCGAGUUUUAGUUACUGUAGGGAUAACAGCGCAAUGGUUUUGGAGAGGCCUUAUCAAUAAGAUUGUUUGCGACCUCGAUGUUGAAUUAAAAUUUCUUUUUUCUGCAGCAGGUUAAAUAGUAGGUUUGUUCAACCUUUAAAAUUUUACAUGAUCUGAGUUCAAAUCGGCUUAAGCCAGAUUGGUUUCUAUCUUUUAUAUGCGAUAAUUUGUGUAAGUACGAGAGGGACACGUAAAUUUU
RNAcentral lists this ribosomal RNA (1004 nucleotides) under Pseudoniphargus sp. 1-Basque. Its description in RNAcentral is "16S ribosomal RNA". The stretch from base 788 to 946 matches the Rfam family "Archaeal large subunit ribosomal RNA", at positions 2542 to 2701 of the family's 2987-position model. The record is from RNAcentral. Lineage: Eukaryota; Metazoa; Arthropoda; Malacostraca; Amphipoda; Allocrangonyctidae.